Molecule: ribosomal RNA, 269 nt
Filed under: uncultured prokaryote
Description: partial 16S ribosomal RNA
Rfam family: Bacterial small subunit ribosomal RNA
Source: RNAcentral
CACGUAGGAGGCAAACGUUAUCCGGAUUUACUGGGCGUAAAGCGCGUGUAGGUGGUUCUGUAAGUAGGGCGUGAAAGCUCCCGGCUCAACUGGGAGAGGCCGUUCUAUACUGCAGAGCUAGAGGAUGGUAGAGGGAGGUGGAAUUCCAGGUGUAGCGGUGGAAUGCGCAGAUAUCUGGAGGAACACCAGUGGCGAAGGCGGCCUCCUGGACCAUUCCUGACACUCAGACGCGAAAGCUAGGGUAGCAAACGGGAUUAGAUACCCCUGUA